This 1730-nucleotide long non-coding RNA is filed under the name Capsella grandiflora. RNAcentral's name for it is "long non-coding RNA (CGRA_LNC000888)". The record is from RNAcentral. Lineage: Eukaryota; Viridiplantae; Streptophyta; Magnoliopsida; Brassicales; Brassicaceae.
UGCAAAAAAACCAAAAAUAAAAGUCGAUAUGAAGGCUUUCGACACGGGUAAGUGAGUAAGCAAAACUGUCAAAGGGGUUAAGUAGUAUACCGACCCUAGAAUGUAAGGAGAAGAUACGGGGAGUGCCUGCAUCUCGCUAUGCACUGGUUUGCCCAAAAUAGGUGUAAAAAGGUUGCUAAGAAUCCUACUCCUUACCACAUUGGAUAGUGCUUUUUCAUAAAAAAGAGACCUCCACAAGUCCAAAAUAUUAGACUCUAAUGUCUCCCUAGCAUACCCAUGCUCCUCUGAAACAUCCUCAGCGGGCCUCAGAUUAUCCUCUAGCUUCUUCAGCACAUCUUGCUUGUAUUUUUUAAUAGCCGACAAAAAUACUCUGUUAUCAAAGGAGCUAUCUUUUCUUCUUAGAACCAUAUCCAGGCGAUGCAAAACUAUGAUUCCGUCAGCAAAAUCCUUCCAUGUGUUUCUGAUCAAUUCCCAUUGGACCGAUUUGCCACCAUCCUGAUACACGCCCUUCUUGGGUUUGAUAUGUUUAGAGUAGAUAUAGUAAAUGACACAAAGAACCCUUUCUAACACGGGAUUCCAGGCCGGUAUUACACCUCUCCAUAACUUAUAGCAGAACCAUAAUAAAGUAUGAAUGUCAUCACACAAUAAGAACAUCGCUUUAGCAAUCGAUAGUGAGAGCUCAACUCCUAGUCGCACAACCUCCUCAUUUGGCUCCUUUAUUGCAAAAUCCUUCCUGCAAAACAAAAACAAAAAAAGUCAACAUGAAGGCUUUUUGACACGAGUAAGUAAAACUGUCAAAGGGGCUACGUAGUACUACUGACCCUAGAAUGUAAGGAGAAAAUAUGGGGAGUGCCUGUAUCUCGCUAUGCACUGGUUUGCCCCAAAUAGGGGUAAACAGGUCGCUAAGAAUCCUACUCCUUACCACUUUGGGUGUUACUUCUUCAUCAAAGAGAGACUUCCACAAGUCAAAAAUGUUAGACACUAACGUCUCCCUCACAAAACCAUGCGCCUCUGAAACAUCUUCUGCGGACCUCAAUUUAUCUUCUAGCUUCUUCAGCACAUCUUGCUUGUAAUUUUUAAUAGCUGAUGAUAAUAGUCUGUCAUCAAAGGAGCUAUCUUUUCUUCUUAGAACCAUAUCCAGGCGAUCCAAAAUUACGAUUCCGUCAAGAAAAUCCUUCCAUGUGUUUUUGACCAAUUCCCAUUGGACUGAGUUGCCACCAUCCUGAUACACUCCAUUCUUCAAUUUAAUAUCUUUUGUGUAGGCAUAAUGAAUAACACGAAGCAGCCUUUCCACCACGGGACUAUUACCAGUCACGUCCCUUUUUGCAUCCCUGCAUAGUCUAUAGCAGAACCAUAACAUAAUACGAAUGUCAUCACACAGCAAGAACAUCGAUUCAGCUAUAAACAGCGAGAGCUCAACUCCUAGUCGCACAACCUCCUCUUUCAGUUCCUGCAUUGCAAAAUCCUUCCUGCAAAAAAAAAAAAGAUAUAUCAAUAUGAAGGCUUUUUGACCCGAGUGAGUGAGUAAGCAAAACUGUCAAAGGGGCUAAGUAGUACUACUGACCCUAGAAUGUAAGGAGAAGAUAUGGGGAGUGCCUGCAUCUCACUAUGCACUGGUUUGCCCAAAAUAGGUGUAAAAAGGUUGCUAAGAAUCCUACUCCUUACCACUUUCGAUAGUGGUUUUUCAUAAAAGAGAGACUUCCAAAAGUCAACAAUGUUAGACUCUAACG